This 474-nucleotide ribosomal RNA is filed under the name uncultured bacterium. RNAcentral describes it as "bacterial SSU rRNA". It matches the Rfam family "Bacterial small subunit ribosomal RNA", at positions 335 to 799 of the family's 1533-position model. The record is from RNAcentral.
ACUCCUACGGGAGGCAGCAGUGGGGAAUAUUGCACAAUGGGCGCAAGCCUGAUGCAGCCAUGCCGCGUGUGUGAAGAAGGCCUUCGGGUUGUAAAGCACUUUCAGUUGUGAGGAAGGUGGUGUCGUUAAUAGCGGCAUCAUUUGACGUUAGCAACAGAAGAAGCACCGGCUAACUCCGUGCCAGCAGCCGCGGUAAUACGGAGGGUGCGAGCGUUAAUCGGAAUUACUGGGCGUAAAGCGCAUGCAGGUGGUUUGUUAAGUCAGAUGUGAAAGCCCGGGGCUCAACCUCGGAACUGCAUUUGAAACUGGCAGACUAGAGUACUGUAGAGGGGGGUAGAAUUUCAGGUGUAGCGGUGAAAUGCGUAGAGAUCUGAAGGAAUACCGGUGGCGAAGGCGGCCCCCUGGACAGAUACUGACACUCAGAUGGCGAAAGCGUGGGGAGCAAACAGGAUUAGAUACCCUGGUAGCACAGAG